AUGACACCUUCGAAGACCUGUAUGGAGAUGGCACCGGUGAAACCGUCGCCCCCACCCAGUAGCUCCUCCUCGCACUCCACACAGCAGUUCAUACACGCAAUUGGCCAAUCAGCCGAAGAGCUGGCGUUAAGGAGAAGAGGACACAGCCCCUGCUAGACUGAGAGACAACACCCUGGCCACUUCCCGCACUGUUACCCUGCUGGACCCCUUCCGCCUUGCUUCCCUUACAAUAAAAUCUGCAUGAGCUCAACCCCGCUGCA
This 260-nucleotide long non-coding RNA is filed under the name Scleropages formosus (Asian bonytongue). RNAcentral's name for it is "lncRNA (ENSSFOG00015025062.1)". The record is from RNAcentral. Lineage: Eukaryota; Metazoa; Chordata; Actinopteri; Osteoglossiformes; Osteoglossidae.